Molecule: long non-coding RNA, 1897 nt
Organism: Acipenser ruthenus (sterlet)
Lineage: Eukaryota; Metazoa; Chordata; Actinopteri; Acipenseriformes; Acipenseridae
Exons: 5
Source: RefSeq, a predicted model, not a curated record
ACAGAACCGCAGAUAAUCACUCUGGUUACGGUAUUUGAAAGGGCUAACAAGUGCACCAAUUCAUUACAAAUUCAGACAAUCAAGUAUUGAGGUCUUAUUGUAAAGCAGCAGUAUAUGCAAGGCACUAGACUUACAGCUAUUUAUAUUAAAGAUACAUAAAUAAAUACAUAUUUUCAUAACCAGUUUCAUACACUAAUACACGCAAGAUUAACAGUCAUUAUAAUCCUAUGCGUAACACUACACCUGCGCCGGUUUAGGACAGAGCAAACAGUAGGCUUAAUUCUUAACGCGUUUAACUAUAGCAGGCUGUGUGGUCAGGUGGUUAACGACAAGGGCUUCUAGUCAGACGGUCCCUGGUUCAAAUCCCGGCUCAUUCACUGACUCAAUGUGUGACCUUGAGCAAGUCAUUUUUACCUUGUGCUCUGUUUUUCGUGCGAGACGUUGUUGUAAGUGACACUGCAGCUGAUAGCUCACACACCCUAGUCUCUGUAAGUCGCCUUGGAUAAAGAUGUCUGCUAAAUAAACAAAUAGUGUUUUGGAUAUAAAAUACUGGUAACAAUUUAAAUCACCCUCCACUAUCCGAGUACACCACAACUGUAACAGCAUUUACAUUAUAUCCUUGAAUACACGGCAAAAUAUAGGCUACUGCGCAAUGCACUAGUAGGCUAUAUAUACUAGUUUGAUGUGUCGUUUGAAUCAAAUGUAAGCGUACGAAGUCGGGAUUUGAACAUAUGAAGAAAUGAAACACUAACACGAUGAUUAAUAGCCUAUAUCCAUUGCGCCACCAAUGCAUAACGCAAAUAAACAUAAAUUUGAAUCUCCAUAUUCUUAAAACUGCUGUUGACAGCUGGCGCUGAUCAAGUCCUUAUAACAUAUAUUUCCAAAAAAAAAAAAACUGGCAUUCAAGAUUUGAUACUUCAAAUUAAAAACUAGCCAUCCAGGACAUUGAUAAAACUCGCUCUAGUGCUUGUCGGCGCGGUUGGCUUAGCGGGCUGAGCACAGCUUCCCGUGCUUUGCCUGUGUGGAGCUGCGGUCCGCUCAGCCUCACCUCUCUGUCCGCGGGUUCGCGUCCAGCAUUCUGUUCCAAUACCUGCGGGAGACAGGCGUGAGUUUCUCGGGCUUUGUUCUCUACCGCGUCGGCGUUUUGGGGUAUUGCCGUUUUAUAGGCAUUACCCCAAAACAGUUCAAAGGGGCAGUGGAACUUGAGCGACAUAACUAAUUGUAAAAACGGGGCCCUUUUACCUCUGCGAAAGGAAAAACCCUCAACCAUCCCCAAGCAGCGUGAGUGGAUGCAGUACCAGCACUGCCCAGUUCAGCGCUGUUCCUCCUACCAGGUAUACCUGUACUGUAACCACGCCCUCAGGUGUGUCGCUGGGUCACCACGCCUCUUCCAGGUAGACAUCCCCCCGUGGCCACGCCCAUUCCAGGUAGAUCAGAAAGAUGGCGGGCAGGGUAACAAGAAAAGAAAUACUCUUGCAUACUGAAUACAAGGAGAGGAGACCUAUUUAGUUAUUUGGAACAGUCCCCCUCUGCCGCAGGUCCCAUCUCUCCAGAGCUGGGGCUGGGAGCCCUGUCCUUUUCCAGCCCUCAAACACAAUCUACUAAAGCACUGAGAGCUGCACUUUUACACCAUGGCUUUGCAAUCACAAUCCUGGGGUUUCCUCUCCUCCCCCAAACCAGGAUCCCGGCCGUUCUCCCGAGCCUGGGGUCCUGAAGGAAGCAGGUUGAGGCAGGGAGUCCCAUGGAAAGACCAGCGACUGACACAAGGAGCCCACUGAUGAAUAGCUGUGUGUGUGUUUUUUUUCACCCAGGAAUGGCAUUGUGUAUUUAUCUAAUCAUUGCACCUUUGUUAUUGUCUUGAAUUUCCAUUGUAAUGUUAAUAAAAGUUUGUAUUAUU